Molecule: long non-coding RNA, 4150 nt
Organism: Gallus gallus (chicken)
Lineage: Eukaryota; Metazoa; Chordata; Aves; Galliformes; Phasianidae
Exons: 4
Source: RefSeq, a predicted model, not a curated record
AUUGCAAAACAGAAAAAGAUGCGGGUAUAGCACAAACUUCUCUAUGUUACAAUGGAGCUCCAGAAGAUUUACGUCCCGUAUCAAUCAAGACAUGUGAAGAUAGGCAUAUUUAUAUACCCCAGAGGUAAAAGUUCAGACUGGAUGUUUAAAGAUCUCAGCUUAUUCACUCUAAUACUUAAAUCCAAAGAUGAUACUGGAUGCAUUCACUUCUCCCAGCUUGACAAAAUGUACCAUUCUGGUUUGAUGGAUAAUGCUGCUAAAUUGAAGAUGUUAUCUCUCUCAUUCACAUACCUAUAUUUUUCUUCUACCAGGUGUUGCCAUGACACAGGACAGCUCCUAGAAAUUCUACCAGUAGGAAGAGCUAGCAACAAAAUUUAAUAAAAUAUACGCAGGAAGAUUCCACCUCUUCUGUCAUACCACCACCAUCCUCCUCUGAUGUGGGCCACCAAAGUAAAAUAGAAAACAUUACUUUGGGAGCAGCGGUCAUAGGUAGUUUCAGCUGGUAUAACCUCUCUAUGUUUUCUGCAUUGAAAGUAAGUGUUUAUUACUUGGAAACCCAGAAAAGACCUGUCCUUUAAUCAUUUAAAUGUGGGAUCUGAAAUGUUAUAAAAUGCACCUGUUAGAGACUGUGCUGGAAUUCAAUUAGCUCUUAUGUGAUUUUUGCAGCUGAACUAAUUGGCUGAAAGAUUAUACUGGAUAAAUACAAGAUAUAAAAUGGAUUAUCAGGGAAGAAAUCUAGAGAAAUGUCAUGAUUUCACUUUGUAAUUUUGUACAUAAAAUGACAAUUACAUUACUAUUCUGCUUUAAGUAGAACACAACCAGAUUUGUAUUACUUGUAUAUUUUGAAUUUUCAAAAGAACAAUAUUCUAGUUAAUACUUGUGUUAAAUGUCAAGUGCUUUUGAGUAGGAAAAAAACUGCUCUACUACAAUGAUUAUAGUUUAUAAAUUGUGAACAUUUAUUUCCAUUUAUCAUUUAUGUUAUUUGUAAUGCUUGACUAGCAUAACUUCACAUAAAUCGAAUUGAUGAGACCAAGCUAAGUGGUGCAGUUGACAUGCUAGAUGGGAGGGAUUGCAUUCAGAGGGACAUGGACAGGCUUGAGAAUUAGGCCCAUGCCAACCUCAUUAAGUUCAACAAGACCAACUGCAAGGUCCUGGGUUAGAACAAUCCCAAGAACAGAUACAGGUUGGGCAGAGAAUGACUUUAGAGCAGCCCUCAGGAGAAGGAUUUGGGAGUGUUUGUUGAUGAAAGACUGAACAUGAGCUGGCAAUGUGUGCUUGCAGCGCAGAAGGCCAACUGUAUCCUGGGUUGCAUCAAGAGAAGCGUGACCAGUAAGCCAAGGGAGGUGAUUCUGCCCCUCCACUCUGCUCUUAUGAGAGCGCACCUGGAGUACUGCAUCCACUUCUGGGCCCCCAAUACAAGAAGGACAUGGAGCUGUUGGAAUGGGUCCAGAGGAGAGCCACAAAGAUGAUCAGGGGGCUGGAACACCUCUCCUACAGAGACAGGCUGAUAGAGCUAGGGCUCUUCAGACUGGAGAAGAGAAGACUCCAGGGAUGACCAUUCAGUGACUUUCCAGUCCCUGAAGAGGGCCUACAGGAAAACUGGGAAGGGACUGGUAAGGGCAUGGAAUGACAGAAUGAGGGGAAAUGACUUUCAGCUGGAAGAGGGUGGAUUUAGGCUAGAUGUUAGGAAGAAAUUCUUUACUGUGAGGGUGAUGAGACACUGGAACAGGUUGCCCAGUGAGGUUAUGGAUGCUGCCUCCCUGAAAGCAUUCAAGGCCAGGUUGGAUGGGUCUUUGAGCAACCUGGUCUAGAGAGUGGUGUCCCUGCCUAUAGUAGGAAGUUUGGAACUAGGUAAUCUUAAAGGUCCCCCCCAAAGCAAACCAUUCUAUGAUUCUAUGAUUAAGAAGCUUACUCUGACUUGUUAUUAAGAAAAAAGUAACAACAGAUUUUAAUUAACAUGCCUAACAUUAAUCUGUAAAUGCUUUAUAACAAUUUAAUAAUAGGAGUACAUUUUCCUUUAUGGCAGUACAACUAUCAAAUAUUUUAUUUUUAUGUGUGUCCACUAAGGAUUUUGUAGAUCUGUUUCACUGUAUGUUUUCAUUUUACAUUCUCUAGAUUGGUCUGGUAUCAGCUAAGUGAUACAUUUCCUAGCUUUACAUUGAACAAGUGGAACUUUGCUGUUUUACUAGUAUAAAUGAAAAUAAAGCAAAAUUAUGGGUUAGUAUCAUGUCAUGUUUUAGAAUAUUUAAAUUUUGAAAUUUUAUAUGUUUAUUGUACUUACAAGUUACACCUACCUGUAAAAUGUUUUUAUAUAGGAAAGGUAUAAGAACAAAAUGUGAACAUAAUACAAAAUGAUUUAUAACUCUACAUUAGUACUUGCACAAUUUUCACUAUCUUGUCAAAUUCUGUCCAAUAAUCCACCUAUCAAGAUAGGUACUAACAAAUGUUGGUCUUUUCCUCUAACCCCUCUUCAACCACAUUAGCAGCUCCCAUAGCUGCACAUUUACAUGAACUAUUGCUUACCCAAUCCAGAAAUCUUUGGUGUUCUACUGUUUCAUAAGAUCUGUGUCCAGAUCUUGCUCUAGAGUGGCCAUUAGAAUUAAUCAUGUUUCCAGGUGAGACUCCAAGUGUAUUUUGCUGUAAAUAAAUACAUAUAUGGAUAUAUAGAUUUUUACAGUGUAUACACUCAAUGGUAACUUAAUUUUCAUCUUUGUGGAGGAGCAGCUUAGCAGUGCACCAUCCUGGGAAAGCUGGAUGCUAUUGAGAUGUGCUCCAAGUGGCUCUGCCAGCUCCCGCUCACCAUUCAUCAGCCUUUGUGGACAAGGAGAGGAGAGAGUUGGAUCAUUACCCUGCCUCCUGACUGAGUUAUAUUUUCAAUAAGCUUGUUCAAACAAACCACCAACCCAUUUUAGCUGAAACCUUCGAAAUAAAUUCUACCUGAGGCAGAGUCCUGGCACAGAGAAUUUCUGCCUAAUGGGCUGAAGUCUGGCAGAGUUGUAAGUGGCUUCUGAGAGAAACAUUAGGUAUACUUCAAAAUGGGACAGAAAAAAAGCUUAAGCCUAGAGGAAUACAAGAAAAUUAUCAAGUAGGCAGUUCCAUUGCUGUGAAUAUUCAGUAUUGACUGAGAUGACAGGUCUUCUCAUUCUUCUCUUGUGUUUCUGUUCUGAGAUUUUUUUUUUUUUUAAAGCAACAUAAAAUCAGCCUGAAAAAGUUACCUUAGCAAUUCUUAGAACCAUUUCUUUCACUUGGAUUUUUUGUUACACUUUCUUUCUGUAUUUAUUUAUGUGAAAGAUGCAACAGAUUUUGACAGACAAAUGACUAUAAACUGUGGUUUAGUGGAAUGAAUGCAUCCUUUAUGAAGUUUUCUAGUCCUUGAGCAAGAGAAAGCUAACAUCUCUGCUGUGUACUUUAGCUGCUUCUGGUCAGUACUUGGAAAGCUGCCACUCCCCACUGGUUGUUGCUGUGGUUGGGAGCCUAAGUGAGAGAAAAGCUAUCAGGCAGCUGGAUACAACAUUAAUUAAUUUAUCUUGAAUGCCUCUUACUCUUUGAAAAACUGAGCCUACAUUACUGUCUACAUGUUUCAUAGCAUUUAUAAUAUUAAGAUUUUUUUUAAUACAUUAAAUGUUUAUACUUUUAGAACAAAUUGAUGAUCUUUUUCUAGUAGACAAUUUAUUUAAUCCAUGGUUUAAUCCAUGGUGUACUAUGCAGUAUGUGAUCGAAAUAUCUUGUCUGUCUCAGAGAAGUACCACAACACACAGGCCACUGAGUUUCCUAAUUUCAGAACAAAAAUAGCAAGAUUUUCUGACCCCGUAAAGAAUAAACAAGGGGCCCUUGCUGAGCUUGAUGUAAAUAUCUUCCUGGGUUCUAUGUUAAUUUUUACUUAAAAAUAGAAUUAAAAAAAUAAAAUAAAACAACACAGAUUUAAAUAAGAUCAGACAAGAAGCAGUGGAGACACUUUGAUCUAUUUUACUACAAUGGAAAAGGCUGUAGUACAAGAAUUCAUAACAGAAGGAUGUCCAGGAUGUUCAGGUUCAAAACAAAAUGAAAGUCAUUUUAUCACUGCAAGGUAGCCAUGCCACUUUGAAAGUCUACAGUAGAAUAACUACCUAGGACUUAUACUGAUAAUAACUAAAAAAUGCAAGUCUUGGAU